UACGUAGGUGGCGAGCGUUGUCCGGAUUUACUGGGCGUAAAGGGAGCGUAGGCGGACUUUUAAGUGAGAUGUGAAAUACCCGGGCUCAACUUGGGUGCUGCAUUUCAAACUGGAAGUCUAGAGUGCAGGAGAGGAGAAUGGAAUUCCUAGUGUAGCGGUGAAAUGCGUAGAGAUUAGGAAGAACACCAGUGGCGAAGGCGAUUCUCUGGACUGUAACUGACGCUGAGGCUCGAAAGCGUGGGGAGCAAACAGGGUUAGAUACCCUGGUA
This 269-nucleotide ribosomal RNA is filed under the name uncultured prokaryote. Its description in RNAcentral is "partial 16S ribosomal RNA". It matches the Rfam family "Bacterial small subunit ribosomal RNA", at positions 524 to 792 of the family's 1533-position model. The record is from RNAcentral.